This 231-nucleotide ribosomal RNA is filed under the name uncultured bacterium. RNAcentral's name for it is "partial 16S ribosomal RNA". It matches the Rfam family "Bacterial small subunit ribosomal RNA", at positions 15 to 235 of the family's 1533-position model. The record is from RNAcentral.
GAUCAUGGCUCAGGAUAAACGCUGGCGGCGCAUAUAAGACAUGCAAGUUGAACGGACUUAAUCGAAAUAUUUAUAUUUUGAAGCGGUUAGUGGCGGACUGGUGAGUAACGCGUAAGGAACCUGCCUAUUAGAGGGGAAUAACAGUGAGAAAUCAUUGCUAAUACCGCAUAUGCCAUAGAUAUCACAUGAUAACAGUGGGAAAGGAGCAAUCCGCUAAUAGAUGGCCUUGCG